This 1254-nucleotide long non-coding RNA is filed under the name Pogona vitticeps (central bearded dragon). RNAcentral describes it as "lncRNA (ENSPVIG00000019936.1)". The record is from RNAcentral. Lineage: Eukaryota; Metazoa; Chordata; Lepidosauria; Squamata; Agamidae.
CUCUGAUUGGGAGCUUGUCACAUUUCUGUGUGACCCCAAUCCCUAGCGAAAAAAGGAACCUUGUUUUUCAGUGUAAGACAGGAGAGGGAAGGGAAAGCUGAAUACUUAGCAGCUCUUUGUUUGAGAAGUUUGAAAGGGUAUCACCUACUCCUGUGUUUGAAUUGUAUGCAGGCACCACAUGACUUUAAACUUUUUGCUAGGAUGCAGAAAUACCCUACAGUGUACAAACCUGCAUAUGCUUAUUAUAGUGGGAUACGUAACAUGUUAGUGACUAUUAGUGGCUUUUAGUGGCUUUUUCUCAUGAAAAAGAAGAUGGAUUUUCUGUACCUUUAAUAAUUCUAUGAAAGAGGAAAGUUCAGCUGGUGCUACUUGGAUGAACAAGCCGCACCUGCUGAAAUUUUAUCUUCUAAGCAGCUAUUAAAACUGCAAAAAGCCUGUUUUCUUUUUCAUUUGGUCAUCUUAAAUAACAUGGGAGUUGGGAAAUCUCCUGUCAAGCCUAUUAUUAAUCUACUUUUGUUAUGUGCCAUCAAGUCAGAAUUGACUUGCAGCCACCCUUGAGAGUUUUCAGAUCCAUGAUCUUGGAUGCACCACAUGGGAGGAAAUACGACAGAAGGAAUGGCAAAAGCAGUUUCUGCACAUGAGCCAUUGCUUGAGGAUAAUUUCUGGGAAUUAUGCCAUUGAGCCAUGUCAACUGGCUUUGUGAAUCAUCUUGGCUGUUUCCUUCCUGCAGUUCUCCUUGGAUAUCUUCUGUUGCACAUAAACAUGGCUACAGUAAAAAUAUACAAAUUUGAACCAAUAGCUUUAGUGUCUUCUGUUCCUGAAGUAUCUUCAGUGUCUUCUGUUCAGUCAGUGUUCAAAGGUCACGUAAUUACCAUCAGUUGGCAUACUUCAAGGACACUCAAAACAAUGUCACAAAAAUAUUUGUGUUGACAGUGAACAUUGCCAAAAACAGUCCACACAAUGUUUAUCUCUGAGCACCACACAAGGUUGAGUUUCAGAAGACAUAUGCCAACUAUCUUUUUAUUUUUAUUUUUAUUCUUUGUCUACUUAGUAUACAAAGCACAGGGGCUGACUAGUUUGUUUCUUUGAAGUUGCUUUCUUCCAAAUAUAUUGCAAAUGUAAACUACUUUUUAGUUAUGCUUGUUAGCUGUGCAGUGUGAGGCCUUUGAUGUCAGUUUGCCUGUAGUACAUAAAAACCAUUUUACAUUGCAACAUCAGAAUAAAACGUGGUGCAGAUUUUAUUUUAUAGGCUGC